Molecule: long non-coding RNA, 627 nt
Filed under: Pan troglodytes (chimpanzee)
Lineage: Eukaryota; Metazoa; Chordata; Mammalia; Primates; Hominidae
Description: long non-coding RNA NONPTRT010970
Source: RNAcentral
AUUAAUGCCAUGAAUAUUCAAUUAAGAGCCUGUGUACAGAGGCCGCUCUCAAGGAAUCCUCUCCUGUGGCCUCGGGGCAGACAUGAGUGAGGUUCUAGUUCAUGUGCUGAUGAUUAUAGGGUUGUAGAGUAGAGCACCGAUUCAAAGCCCAACCCAACCAGGUCUCACAGAGCCCUAGCCAUGGUGAGGAGAUGAACACUGACCUUGAUCAGCGUUGUGCUGAUGGUAGCUCAUCUCAAGAGAGCACCUCCCAUCCCUAACUUCUCACAUGUAUGCCUGCAGAAGCCGGAUUGGAAUUCAUGGCUGGGCACCUCUGAAGUUGAUAAGGGCUGACAUCUCAUGGACCAACCCUCAACCACUGGGAGACGGGAGCUGCUGGAUAAAUGAUUCUGUCUUCUGUCCCUUGGGCAGAUGAUGCAGAGAUAUUUUAUUCUCUUUUCAUGAUGUCCUGGUGAUGGGAUGGGGAGCUUGAUACCACACUAUAGUGUGUGUGGCAUUGAUGGCGUUGGCUUUUCCUCCUUCCCUGUUGACCCUCACUAGCACCUCACUGGCAUCCCUCGUUGACUUCCUGAAAUAAACUACCUGCACACCGUCCUUUUCUAAGGCUGCAUUUUAGGAGGGGGAAAG